Molecule: transfer RNA, 73 nt
Filed under: Octopus bimaculoides (California two-spot octopus)
Lineage: Eukaryota; Metazoa; Mollusca; Cephalopoda; Octopoda; Octopodidae
Description: transfer RNA lysine (anticodon UUU)
Rfam family: tRNA
About the family: Transfer RNA (tRNA) molecules are approximately 80 nucleotides in length.
Source: RNAcentral
GCCCGCAUAGCUCAGUCGGUAGAACAUCAGACUUUUACUCUGAGGGUCGCGGGUUCGAAUCCCUCUGCGGGCG